Long non-coding RNA from Sinocyclocheilus grahami, 291 nucleotides. RefSeq lists it as uncharacterized. The record is from RefSeq and is a predicted model, not a curated record. The transcript has 3 exons. NCBI's taxonomy places the organism in Eukaryota, Metazoa, Chordata, Actinopteri, Cypriniformes, Cyprinidae.
UAUCUCGGAGACAUCGCGCUGGAUGAGGAAGAUAUGCGCAUGUUUAAAGUGGACCGCAUUGUGAAUUUAGCAGAGAGAACAGUCACAGUUCUGAAUCACACAGAUGCGGGUUCACUUAACAACGAGACGAAUACAAACGAUACGGCGUCCAGUCGGGGAUCCUACCGCAGGAAGAGGGCAGCGACGUCCAGACCUGAGAGGGUGUGGCCCGAGGGCGUCAUUCCUUACGUCAUCAGCGGGAACUUCAGCGGAAGCCAGCGAGCCAUAUUCAGACAGGACAUGAGACACUGG